Molecule: ribosomal RNA, 492 nt
Filed under: uncultured bacterium
Lineage: Bacteria
Description: bacterial SSU rRNA
Rfam family: Bacterial small subunit ribosomal RNA
Source: RNAcentral
GAUGAACGCUAGCUACAGGCUUAACACAUGCAAGUCGAGGGGAAACGACAUCGAAAGCUUGCUUUUGGUGGGCGUCGACCGGCGCACGGGUGAGUAACGCGUAUCCAACCUGCCCACCACUUGGGGAUAACCUUGCGAAAGUAAGACUAAUACCCAAUGAUAUCCCACGAAGGCAUCUGAAAGGGAUUAAAGAUUUAUCGGUGAUGGAUGGGGAUGCGUCUGAUUAGCUUGUUGGCGGGGUAACGGCCCACCAAGGCGACGAUCAGUAGGGGUUCUGAGAGGAAGGUCCCCCACAUUGGAACUGAGACACGGUCCAAACUCCUACGGGAGGCAGCAGUGAGGAAUAUUGGUCAAUGGGCGAGAGCCUGAACCAGCCAAGUAGCGUGCAGGACGACGGCCCUAUGGGUUGUAAACUGCUUUUAUAAGGGAAUAAAGUGGGUCUCGUGAGACUUUUUGCAUGUACCUUAUGAAUAAGGACCGGCUAAUUCCGUG